UACGGGGCGCAGCAGGCGCGAAAACUUUACAAUGCGGGAAACCGUGAUAAGGGAACUCUGAGUGCCCGUUAAAUCGGGCUGUCCACCAGUUUAAAAAACUGGUGAAGAAAGGGCCGGGCAAGACCGGUGCCAGCCGCCGCGGUAAUACCGGCGGCUCGAGUGGUGGCCACUAUUACUGGGCUUAAAGCGUUCGUAGCUGGUUUGUUAAGUCUCUGGGGAAAAUCUUCCGGCUCAACCGGAAAGGCGUCUCAGGGAU
Molecule: ribosomal RNA, 256 nt
Filed under: uncultured archaeon
Lineage: Archaea
Description: partial 16S ribosomal RNA
Rfam family: Archaeal small subunit ribosomal RNA
Source: RNAcentral